Molecule: ribosomal RNA, 519 nt
Filed under: uncultured Acetobacterium sp.
Lineage: Bacteria; Bacillati; Bacillota; Clostridia; Eubacteriales; Eubacteriaceae
Description: bacterial SSU rRNA
Rfam family: Bacterial small subunit ribosomal RNA
Source: RNAcentral
GGAUGGAAUGACCCUUCGGGGGAAUGAAAUCCUAGAAAGUGGCGAACGAGUGAGUAACGCGUGGGUAACCUGCCCUAUGGAAAGGAAUAGCCUCGGGAAACUGGGAGUAAUGCCUUAUAAUAUACGAGAGUCGCAUGGCUUUUGUAUUAAACGCUCCGGUGCCAUAGGAUGGACCCGCGUCCCAUUAGCUAGUUGGUGAGAUAACAGCCCACCAAGGCAACGAUGGGUAACCGGUCUGAGAGGGCGAACGGUCACACUGGAACUGAGACACGGUCCAGACUCCUACGGGAGGCAGCAGUGGGGAAUAUUGCGCAAUGGGGGCAACCCUGACGCAGCAAUACCGCGUGAGUGAAGAAGGUUUUCGGAUCGUAAAGCUCUGUUAUUGGGGAAGAAAAAAGACGGUACCCAAGAAGAAAGUCCCGGCUAACUACGUGCCAGCAGCCGCGGUAAUACGUAGGGGACAAGCGUUGUCCGGAUUUACUGGGCGUAAAGGGCACGCAGGCGGUUUUUUAAGUCAGA